RNAcentral lists this ribosomal RNA (460 nucleotides) under uncultured bacterium. RNAcentral describes it as "partial 16S ribosomal RNA". It matches the Rfam family "Bacterial small subunit ribosomal RNA", at positions 338 to 795 of the family's 1533-position model. The record is from RNAcentral.
CCUACGGGGGGCAGCAGUGAGGAAUAUUGGUCAAUGGCCGAAAGGCUGAACCAGCCAAGUCGCGUGAAGGAAGAAGGUGCCAAGGAUUGUAAACUUCUUUUGUCAGGGAACAAAAUCAGCCUCGAGUGGGUGACGGAGAGUACCUGAAGAAAAAGCAUCGGCUAACUCCGUGCCAGCAGCCGCGGUAAUACGGAGGGUGCGAGCGUUAUCCGGAUUUAAUGGGUGUAAAGGGUGCGUUGGCGGCGUGACAAGUCUGCGGGGAAAGCCUGCGGCCCAACCGCGGGACUGCAGUUGAAACUGCCGGGCUGGAGUGUCGGAGAGGUAGGCGGAAUGCCUGGUGUAGCGGUGAAAUGCGUAGAUAUUAGGAGGAACACCAGUUGCGAAGGCAGCCUACUGGACGCCGACUGACGCUGAGGCUCGAAAGCGUGGGGAGCAAACAGGAUUAGAUACCCCAGUAGUC